Molecule: long non-coding RNA, 1569 nt
Filed under: Trifolium pratense (red clover)
Lineage: Eukaryota; Viridiplantae; Streptophyta; Magnoliopsida; Fabales; Fabaceae
Description: long non-coding RNA (TPRA_LNC014170)
Source: RNAcentral
CAAGAGAUUUUUACAAUAUAAAAUUAUUAAAAUAUUUAACAUUUCUUACAUGCAAAGUGAAAAAAAAUGGCUGAAACUCUCAAGUUUAUUUAUACUGUGAUGUUUUUUGUUUCCCUAUUUUUCAUUGUAAUCAUUAAUGCAGUCCCCAACUUUGAUUCAACAAGUAAGCUCAUUCUCAUAAUUUUUUGUUUUGUUUUAUACACAAUCUUUCACUCUUCUUAGGAUGUUUCUUUAUUCUUAUUUUACAGUGUGUAAAACAGACCAAGAUUGCAUAAGGAUUUGUGCUACUAUGCAUAAAUGUUAUAAUUGUCUACCCAUAUGCGAAAGAGGUAAAUGUAUAAAGAGGUAAAUCAAAUUUCUCUAUGUCAUUUCAUUUUUUUUAUAAGUAAAAAUAGAAAUGCGUCUAUCAUGAAAAAAAAUGUCUUAAACGGAAAUCGAUCCCACGACAUGUCAUUCCAUUUUUGUUCAUAAUGUUGUUACUCUUUUAAUUUCUCUGAUAUUUUCAUAUAUUUCUCCGAUCUUUCAAUUUCUUUGGUAGCCUUAAAAACAAGAUUUUAUUAUAUAGAGCAUAUGACAUAAAAAAGAAAUAAAAAGAAGAUAUGUUCUACUUAUAGUCAAUUUAAGAAAGGAAUAACUCAAAAGUCAAUUAUAAUCGAAGAUCUUCUAUAUAACAUUUGUAAUAUUUGCAUCUUAAUUAAUUGAUUGAUUAUCAUUUAUCUAUUAAUUGAUAACAUCAAAAUAUUAAACUAUGGAAACUCUAAUGUAUAUAAUGGCAACAUAUAUACAUAGGUAAGGUAGAGUGUAAAGAGAAAUGAUUGGAGUGCAUGUCAAAGUACCUUACCAAUUGAAAAAAAGCAGUACCAAGCUCCUAUAGAUCAAAAUUGAUCUAACUCAUAUACAUAUCUUUCAGUUAUAUGUGCACCUUAGAUGGUUUGGUGUUAUGUGUGUUUGUUUUUAUCCAAUGCAAUUGUUAUACCACUUUAAAAAGUGAUUUCGAAAUUAUCUUACCUUAUGACUUCUAUAUAUUUUUCUUUUAUUAAUUAUAUGCAGGUUGGAUCGAACCUAAGUAGUAGUAUUUAAGUGUUUGUACACAAGAAUAAAGUGCAGAAUUAUUCUUUCAGUCACCUAUGUUAUGUUGUUCUAUUAUUUUGUAUGUUUCAAUUGUGAUGUAAGACUUUGAUAUUGUUACAUCAGGAUCGGAUUUUGUGAGAAGUUGGGAGGGAAGCUGCUGCCAAGGUUUUAAAUUGCGGUCCGCAUCCGCAAUUGCGGUCGCAGUAUAUUGCUGAUGCGCUAGCCUCCGCAACCGCAUCGCACCGCAAUUGCGGUGUGAUCUUAAUUCACGUGUACGGCCGCAUCGUAAUCGCAUCACAACCGCAUCGGAAGUCGCAUCAGAUGUUUUCGGCGAUGUUCCUUCAAAUUUUCUCACCAAAAAGUAAAAUUAUGAACUUCAAAUCCUAAUUUGUGUCAAAUUAAUGAAAAAUCUUACUUUUAACAAUCUCUCAACCGUGUAUUUUAAAUACAUUCAAAUUAUUGUUUAUAGAAUAAACUAAGACUAUGCAAUGGUGGAUA